CCAAUAGCGUAUAUUAAAGUUGUUGCAGUUAAAAAGCUCGUAGUUGAAUUUCGGAAUUUGUCGGUUGGUCGGGCUUCACUGUCCGCACUGGCCUGAUAGAUUCCUACCUUCUGAAUAACCAGCAUGCUAUUAAUUUAGUGCGUUGGGGAAGCAGAGCUAUUACCUUGAAAAAAUUAGAGUGCUUAAAGCAGGCUCACGCUUGAAUAGAUUAGCAUGGAAUAAUAAAAUAGGACGGCUUGGUUCUAUUUUGUUGGUUUCUAGGAUCACCGUAAUGAUUAAUAGGGAUAGUUGGGGGCAUUAGUAUUCAAUUGUCAGAGGUGAAAUUCUUGGAUUUAUUGAAGACUAACUUCUGCGAAAGCAUUUGCCAAGGAUGUUUUCAUUAAUCAAGAACGAAAGUUAGGGGAUCGAAGACGAUCAGAUACCGUCGUAGUCUUAACCAUAAACUAUGCCGACUAGGGAUCGGACGAUGUUAAUUUUUUAAUGACUCGUUCGGCACCUUAUG
This 502-nucleotide ribosomal RNA is filed under the name uncultured Glomeromycotina. RNAcentral describes it as "partial small subunit ribosomal RNA". It matches the Rfam family "Eukaryotic small subunit ribosomal RNA", at positions 591 to 1092 of the family's 1831-position model. Lineage: Eukaryota; Fungi; Glomeromycota. The record is from RNAcentral.